UACGUAGGGUGCGAGCGUUAAUCGGAAUUACUGGGCGUAAAGCGUGCGCAGGCGGUUCGCCAAGUCAGGUGUGAAAUCCCCGGGCUUAACCUGGGAAUUGCGCUUGAAACUAGCGGGCUUGAGGGUGGGAGAGAGAAGUGGAAUUCCCGGAGUAGCGGUAAAAUGCGUAGAUCUCGGGAGGAACACCGAUAGCGAAGGCAGCUUCUUGGCCCAUUCCUGACAUUGAGGCACGAAAGCGUGGGGAGCAAACAGG
This 253-nucleotide ribosomal RNA is filed under the name uncultured bacterium. RNAcentral describes it as "partial 16S ribosomal RNA". It matches the Rfam family "Bacterial small subunit ribosomal RNA", at positions 524 to 776 of the family's 1533-position model. The record is from RNAcentral.